Molecule: long non-coding RNA, 30396 nt
Filed under: Citrus x clementina
Lineage: Eukaryota; Viridiplantae; Streptophyta; Magnoliopsida; Sapindales; Rutaceae
Description: Citrus clementina (C. clementina) long non-coding RNA (CCLE_LNC002978)
Rfam family: Small nucleolar RNA Z247 (bases 1042-1178)
Source: RNAcentral
CAAUGAGUGCUCUAGCGAUUCUGAACUCAUCAAAAGGAUCUGACACACAGACCCAUAUUCUUUCAUCAAAAUGUUUUUUAACAUCACCGUUGUUGUAGGCAAAUUGAGCAAGAGUUGUUUUGCCUAUGCCCCCCAUCCCAACAAGUGAGAUGAUACAAGGGCCUUUCUGUUCCUUACUGUUAAGGAAGCACACAUCAGUAGCAUAGACUGUAAAGCAGAGGAUAGCAGCAGCUCCAGCUUACAGUUAAGAGUUGAUGACAUGGCAUGCCAGCUGGCACCUGGUGGUUAUGUAAUCACUUGUUCACGUGAUAAUUAGUUGAAGUUGUUAUAGCUAGCUAGAAUUAGUUUUGUAAUGAGUUAACUAAUUGAGCUUAGCAUCAGUUGUGUAUAUAAGCAUCUCUGUGUACAGUUUCAUAAGUAAGUUUUAGAUGAAUAAAAUCGUGUGAGCAAAAAGCUUUCAGUUCUUAAAUUUUCUCAGCUUCCAAACAUCCUUUUUCUGAUUUCUUACUUGGUAUCAGAGCUUUAAUGGCAUCUGUGAAUCUUGCCUCUUCCUUAAAUCAAGUUCAUAAUACCGCUGCACAUUCAACAACAGUCAAUUUCACUUUCAAUACUCCCGUUAAACUUGAUCAAUCAAACUAUUUGAUCUGGAGAUCUCAAGUGCUUGCUUCAAUUUGAGGAAAUAGACUUGAGAAAUUUAUCGAUGAGUCAAUCACUCCACCUCCUUCUCAUAUUGCUCAUAGAUAUGAUGAUGAGCUUAGAUCUGUGGAGAAUCCAGAAUUUGCAACCUGGAGAGCACAAGAUCAAAUACUUCUCGGUUGGCUUCUUUCAUCCAUGAGUGAAGGUAUCAUCAGUUUGGUGUUCAAUCUUGAGACUUCAUUGGAGGUAUGGAAAGCUGUUGAAACUCAAUUUGGAUCUCAAUCAAAGUCUAGGUUAUUACAUUUGAGAUAUUUGAUGAAUUCCACUAGAAAGGAUGAUCUUAAAAUGACUGAAUACUUCAUUAAAAUGAAAUCUAUUGCUGAUAACAUGGCUGCAGCAGGAAGUGCAUUAAGCAAUGAUGAUUUGAUUUUACAUGUACUCUCUGGUCUAGGUCCUGAUUAUAAUUCUGUUGCUACUUACAUCACUGGACAAGUAGGAACUGGAAAAAUGAAUGUUAAUGAGGCUUAUGCUAUGCUGUUAACUCAAGAGGCUAGGAUUGAUCAACAAACUCAUAUGCUUGCUAAUAUGGAUGUUAAACACAAUUUAGAAGCUAACUUUGCACAAAAUAGAGGACCUAAGAGAGGAAACUUCUCAGGAGGAAAAGGUUUUGGUAGUCUUGGAUAUAAUACAGGCUACAGUAAUGCUGGAAAUUCUGGAAAUAGUGGUUACAGAGGAAAUUAUGGAUCAUCUGGUUUUGCUGUUGGAAGUGCUGGAAAUAAUGGUUACAGAGGAAACUAUGGAGGAGGAGGAGGAGGAAACUGGAAUAAUAAUAAUGCUGUCAAUAAUGGCAAAACACCUGGAAAUCCUAAAUCUCAGUGGAAUCCUUCUAAGCCUACAUGUCAAGUUUGUCUCAAAAUAGGUCACACAGCUAAUGUAUGCUGGAAGCUGGAAGAAUUUAUUGCUUCAGGAGCUUAUAGACCACCUCCAAACAGGAAUCCGAAAUCUGCAUAUCUGGCAAACAUGGAAGGAUCAUCUGAUACAAAUUGGUACCUUGACAGUGGUGCCACUCACCAUCUCACAAAUGACAUGAACAAUAUGCAGAUUUCUGAAUCAUUUACAGGUACAUCUAAACUCAUUAUUGGUAAUGGUACUGGCUUGAAUAUUACACAUAUUGGAAAAGCUGUUCUGAGAUUGCACAACUGCACUGAUUCCACUGUGAUUAAACUAAACAAUAUACUUUUAGUUCCACAAAUAACCAAGAACCUUAUAAGCAUUUCUCAGCUAACCAAAGACAACAAUAUCACAGUUGAGUUUGCUGACAAAUCUUGUUUUGUGAAGGACAAGGUGAAGAAUUUGAUCAUACUGCAGGGCAAGGCUGAAAAAGGCUUGUACAGAUUGCUAUUAGUGUCCUCAAAUAAAACUUCUGCUCAGUCUUCCUUUCAAGGUCAUGUUGCCAAUAUUGAGUCUUCUUUUCAGUCUUUUGUUCCUUUGUCAAUGCUAUCAACUGUCAAUCUCAGUCAGUCAAAUAAUCACUGCUUGUAAAAUGUGGCAGCAGAACCUUGUAUGAACUCUAAGUGUCUUUUAAGCACUUCUGUAUUACAUCAGAGGCUAGGUCAUCCUAACUCUAAGAUCUUAAACCAUGUAAUACAAUCUUGUUCCUCUUUCAAACCUAUCAAUGGAAAUAAAGAGUUUGAUUCAUGUGAUGCUUGUAAAUUUGGGAAAAUGCAUAGAUUACACUUUCCAGCAACUGAAACAAAAACAAAACAACCUUUAGCCAUUUUACAUACUGAUUUAUGGGGACCAGCUCCAGUGGUUUCCACACAAGGUUAUAAAUAUUAUGUGAGCUUUGUGGAUGAUUUUACCAGAUUCACUUGGAUAUUUCCCCUGAAAACCAAAGAUGAAACUCUUCAUGUGUUCAAAAUUUUCAAAGCUCAAGUUGAAAAACAAUUAGAACAGCCCAUUAAAUGUCUUCAAUCUGACUGGGGAGGGGAAUUCAGAUCCUUUAGCAAAUAUCUUCAAGAAGAAGGGAUAGAAUUUAGACACUCUUGUCCUUAUACACAUAACCAAAAUGGUUUGGUAGAAAGGAAACACAGACACAUCACUGAAUCAGGACUUACUCUUCUUGCACAAGCUAAAUUACCUAUCAAAUUCUGGUGGGAUUCCUUUCAUACAGCAGCCUAUCUCAUUAACAGAUUACCAACACCUAUUCUAGCAAUGAAAACUCCAUAUGAAUCAAUCUUUCAUCAUCAACCAGACUAUAACUUUCUAAGAACAUUUGGAUGUUCUUGUUUUCCUUUUCUCAGAGAAUACAAUAACCAUAAAUUUCAUUUCCAUACUUCAAAGUGUGUCUUCUUAGGAUAUAGUCCUUCACAUAAGGGCUAUAAGUGUCUACAUUCAUCAGGCAAAAUUUAUAUUGCCAGUCAUGUAUUGUUUGAUGAAACCACUUUCCCUUACAUUUCAGAUCCAAAUUUUUCUUCCUCUUCUAAACACACUUCCUCUGAUUUUCAAUAUAAUCUUUUUCAAAGGUUUACUCUGUCAGUUCCUAAUAGCAUUCUGAACAGUCUUGAAGCUACUGCAGCAGAUCAAUUCCCUGUCAAUCAUUCUUUAUCAUCAAAUUCACCUCAAUCUCAGUCACCCACAAAUCAGACCUCUACAUCUUUGCCUUCACCUGCACCCCAGUCACCAGCACCACAAAUACCCUGCACAACACAAACAUCUCAGCCUAAACCUUCUACUUCCACCCAUCAUAUGAUAACCAGAGCUAGAGCUGGUAUUUUCAAACCAAAGACCUUUCUAACAACUCACAACAGCUUAGAACCAUCCACUGUCCCUGAGGCAUUAUCAGAUCCUAAAUGGAAAGAUGCAAUGCAAACUGAGUAUGAUGCUCUUAUUCACAACAACACUUGGACUCUUGUGCCAAUGUCUUCAACAUACAAGCUAGUUGGUUGUAAGUGGGUAUUCAGAACAAAGUAUAACACAGAUGGAACUGUCAGCAAGUAUAAAGCUAGAUUGGUUGCAAAGGGAUUUCACCAAACAGCAGGGGUAGAUUAUUCAGAAACUUUCAGUCCAGUGGUGAAGUCUUCAACAGUUAGAGUUAUACUCAGCUUGGCAGUUAUAAAAGGGUGGAAAGUCAGACAAAUUGAUGUAAAUAAUGCAUUCCUUAAUGGAGAUCUUUCUGAAAACGUAUAUAUGACACAACCAGAAGGCUUUGUAACUAAGGAAGGGUACAUCUGCAAACUCAAUAAAGCUCUCUAUGGUCUAAAACAAGCUCCACGAGCCUGGUAUGAAAAAUUGAAGGGUUGUCUAACUACUUGGCAAUUUCUUAAUUCAAAGGCUGAUACAUCUCUAUUCAUUAAACAUGAUACAAGGGGCUUAAUCAUAGUAUUGAUCUAUGUGGAUGAUAUUCUAGUCACUGGACCAGAUUCUGCUUUACUAGAGGAUUUUAUUGUUAAACUCAGUCAGACAUUUGCCUUGAAAGAUCUGGGAUUAGUUGCUUACUUCCUAGGUGUUGAAGUUAGUUACUUUGAUGAAGGUAUGCAUCUAUCUCAAACAAAGUAUAUUAAAGACUUGCUGAGUAAAGCAUCUAUGGAGAAUUGCAAAGGGUCUGAUACUCCUCUUAGUACUGGUUUGAAGCUAGAAAGAAAUGUCAGGGGUCCUUUGGGUCAGGAGUUCGAAAAUCCAACACAAUACAGAAGCAUAGUUGGAGGGUUACAAUAUCUAAUUCUCACCAGGCCGGAUAUAGCUUAUUCAGUUCAUAAGCUCAGUCAAUACCUCAGUUCUCCUACUGUUCAGCACUGGUUAGCCUGCAAAAGAGUUCUUCGAUAUCUCCAGUCAACCAUCACCUAUGGUCUCUAUCUCAGAAAGGAAGCAACUCUGGAAAUUGGAAUAACAGGCUAUACAGAUGCUGACUGGGCUUGUGAUCUUGACGACAGAAAAUCAAUUGGAGCCUAUUGUAUAUACUUGGGUAACAAUCUGAUUUCAUGGUCUUCCAAAAAGCAAGCUAUUAUAGCAAAGUCAAGCACAGAAAGUGAAUAUCGAGCCCUGUCAGCAGCAUGCUCAGAAAUUUCUUGGUUGCAGUCUUUAUUUUCAGAACUCAACAUUGCUAAACUACCUACUCCAGUUCUUUGGUGUGAUAACCAAAGUGCAGGGGAGCUAGCUCGCAACCCUGUGUUUCACUCAAAAUCUAAGCACAUAGAGUUGGAUGUUCAUUAUGUUAGAGACAAAGUGCUUGGAAAAGAAUUGGAGGUUAGAUACAUUCCUACUGAAGAACAAGUAGCUGAUGUUCUGACUAAGCCCUUAUCUUUUUCUAAAUUCAGCUUUUUUAGAUCCAAGCUCAAUGUCGUUAGUAGACCUUUGAGCUUGAGAGGGGAUGUUAAGGAAGCACACAUCAGUAGCAUAGACUGUAAAGCAGAGGAUAGCAGUAGCUCCAGCUUACAGUUAAGAGUUGAUGACAUGGCAUGCCAGCUGGCACCUGGUGGUUAUGUAAUCACUUGUUCACGUGAUAAUUAGUUGAAGUUGUUAUAGCUAGCUAGAAUUAGUUUUGUAAUGAGUUAACUAAUUGAGCUGAGCAUCAGUUGUGUAUAUAAGCAUCUCUGUGUACAGUUUCAUAAGUAAGUUUUAGAUGAAUAAAAUCGUGUGAGCCAAAAGCUUUCAGUUCUUAAAUUUUCUCAGCUUCCAAACAUCCUUUUUCUGAUUUCUUACUCUUACUACUCUCAUAUAACAACCUAUUAACGAGUUCGUUCUUCUCUUUUUGUCUACCAAAUAUCUCGGACUCAUCAAUUGAGGAGAUACUUGCCGGCCCUCGUUGAUCCGCUCUCUCAUUACUCUUGGUAACAUUCACAGCAAAACCAAACAUGGCUUUUUGUUUGUCAAUAUCAUCAAGAGUUUCAUUGAUGUCUUUCAUCUUGAGAGCAAUGCGACGACGUAAAAAAAUAGGUUUGCAGCCAAAGCAAGAGGCAGCAGGAAAGAAGGAACCUACCUUCUUCUUAGGAACGAGAGCAUCAUUCUCAUGAUCAUCCACCCCAUCGAUCUGCAGUUUGAGCCUUGCAGUGUUCCACUCACCCAACACAUCUUCCAUGUCGUAACAUGCGCAUCUGAGUCGAUCGAGCCAGAGUCUGACAGUUUCCUCCUUUACUUGCCUUUUCUCUGCAUCAUGGAGCACAGCUCGAAUGGCUUGGAGAUUGCUGGUCAGCUUCUUCGAUUCCUUUCCGACACCCGUUACAAGCCUCAAUUGUUCCUUCGCCUCUUCAACAGCCAUUGAGGUCAGCAGCUCCAAGAGAGGGGAAAUGAUCGCAUCAACCAUGGUGAAAAAGAAAAAUGAGAGAGAGAAGAAAUUGAUGGUGAGUUGUAGCAAAAGUAAGUAGCUAAUGCUGAAAGAAAUGAAGGAGCUGAUAAUGUGGUGAAAAUGUUGCCGUAUUCUUUCAAUUCUUAUAGUACUGCAAGCAAAAUUCUAAUUUAGAAAUAUUUCAUUUCAGCCCCUUGUGAAAGAAGCUACUGUUAUUAUUAUUACUUUUUUUUUUUUUUAAUACCAGCAAAGAGUGAAAAUGACGUACAGUUGUGGACAGGAAAUAAUAUAUUGUUAGGUCCUACAUCGGCGAUUCACGCGGUAUAUAAAGAAACUGACAAAGUUUUCUAUGAUCUCUUUUUAAAUAAUUGAACAAGUUGUUAGAUAAUAUGUAUGAUCGUGUCGUCAUAUUGAGAUUUGGAAGCAUUUAGUUGAAAUACCUUGACCAUCUCUUUCUUAUUUUCUUCUUCUUCUUUUCUUUUUUUUUAAAAAAAUUUGACUCGUUUGCAUAAUUAGUUGAAAGGAAAGAAUGAACAUACUAAUAAACUAGGAAAACGCUGCCACAUAAUAUUUUAAGAUUCAUAUCGAACCACUUUAUUUAGAUUUUGUCAUUUUAGCAGAUGUCUGAUAGUGGGAGUUUAGAGUUUAAUCUCUAACUUUGCUUGUGAAGUGUGAAAAAUCAAAUAAUCUUUUCAACUCGUUUUUCAACAAAAAUAGAUAACAAUUCAUCAUCAGUUAUUUCUCUUUAUGUAUAAAAUGAUCAAUCUAGAGCUGGAUAUUCACAUGUUUUUCUAUUUCUAAUCAUUUCAAAAUAUAAUAUGAACUUUUAAAAAAAAAUCAAAUUGUAAUAAAGUGACAUAAAUAUUAAAAAAUAAAAAUAAAAAGUCAAAAACGUAAUGCCGAAAAAAGACAAAACCUUUUUGUUUGUUCUAUUCAUGGCAUCUAAAUAUGAGAAAUGAUGGGUUGAUUGUCAUUGUGAACAACCAUAUUAAUUGCAACACGUGAAUACCAUCAAAGUUAUAAUAAUUUAUGGACCCAUGCACCUGUAUUUCUAAUUAUUCCGCGUAGAAGGCUAAAGUUUAAUGUGUGAUUCUCAAAUUCAUUGUCAAGUGAUUUGAAUGUUUUAACGAACAGUGCUUACUUUUCUUUUUGAAGGAGCACAAUAACAACUUGAAGAUUCCUGGAAAUUGCCUACAGCACAAAUAUUUUUCAAUUGAACAAAAACCAUCAAUAAUUUUCAAACUUAGAAGAUAUUUAUUUUUUUCCCCAUAACCCACCAAAAACUUUUUCAUUUAGUGUAACUUUGUAAUUUUCUUAGAUGAUACUUAAAACUGCUAAUAUCUUCUAAUUAUUGUUUUAAAAAUCUCAAUGAUUGCAUGCCCAAUUAACGGAUCAGUAAUCUCAGUUUGACAUAUUUAUUUAAAAAAAAGAAAUAUACAGAUUGUUUGAUGACUCUAGAAUAGAACAUCAGGAAAUGAAGAGAAAAAGUAACAUACUUUAUGACGAUCAUUGCCGAUGACAUAACAGAUGUAAGUAUUUAUUGCCAAUUAAUUGACAUUCUUAUCAAGUAAUUGUUUUAGACUUGAAUUCAAAAGCUCUACUCCGCUCUGCCCUUCGGUAAUUCCCCUGUUCAAAAAAUAAUAUUGUUUUAAAAAUCUCAAUAACAACAUGCCCAACAUAACAGGAAGAUUCGACUUUCUCAGAAGAACUACUUGAAAAAAAUCUUGCAACGCUUCAACAUGCAAGAUUGUAAGUCAAUUUCCACCCCACUUUCUGUCAAUUUCAAGUUAUCCUCAAGUAUGUGUCCUAGUAAUGAAGCAGAGAGGAAGGAGAUGUCUCGAGUACCAUAUGCAUCAGCAGUGGAAAGUUUAAUGUUCGCUAUGAUAUAUACUAGACCAGACAUUGCACAAGCAGUGGGAGCAGUCAGUCGAUACAUGGCGAAUCCUGGUGGAGAGCAUUGGAUAGUUGCGAAGAGGAUUCUAAGAUACAUCAGAGGAACCUCAGAUGUUGCAUUAUGUUAUGGAGGAUCAGAGUUUACUGUCAGGAACUAUGUGGAUUCAGAUUUUGUAGGAGAUCUUGAUAAAAGAAAAUCCACUACUGGCUAUGUGUUUACACUUGCGGGAGCAGCUGUAAGCUGAGUUUCUAAACUGCAGACCGUUGUGGCUCUAUCUACAACAGAAGCAGAGUACAUGGCAGCUACACAAGCUUGCAAGGAAGCUAUCUGUAUACAAAGGUUAUUAGAGGAGCUCGGGCAUAAACAAGAGAAAAUUUAUGUGUUUUGUGACAGUUAGAGUGCCUUGCACAUUGCAAGGAAUCCAGUCUUUCAUUCCAGGACAAAGCACAUAGGAGUUCAGUAUCACUUUUUUCGAGAAGUAGUGGAAGACGAAAGUGUGGAUUUACAAAAAAAAAUCCAUACGAAUGAGAACCUAGCAGAUAUUUUGACCAAGCCGAUCAAUGCUGGCAAGUUUAUCUAGAGUAAAUUAGGGAUGGCAAAAACCGGGUCCGGGUCCGGGUUUGGCCUUUCCGGUUCCGGACCCGGAUGCCAAUUCUCCUUCCCGGAUCCGGAUAUAAACCCGCAUUUUCUUUCUCCGGGUUCGGUACGGGUUCAACCCGGAAAAAUCUGGGUUUCCGGAUUACGGGUUUUGAACCCGAAAAGUUGGAGUCUGGAACAAUAAAGCCUUUGUGCAUGCCCCUUUUGACUCUGGACGAGUGGAUUAGCGGUUUAUUUGAGGUGUCGGUUGAGACACCGGCGAGUCCAGGAAGCAGCAGCCAUGAAAGCAGUGAGCAAGGUUUGAGAUCCAGCAUCCACGAACAAGAGAGAGAUGAGAUCGAGCGCCAACAAGAGUGGAUUAGCAGUUUCUUUAAGGUGUCGGUUGAGGCACCAGCAAGUCGAGGAGGUGGCAGCCAUGAGAGUAGCGAGCAAGGUUUGAGAUCCAGCAUCCAAGAACAAGAGAAAAAUGAGAUCGAAUUUGAUGAGAGAUGAGAGAUAAGGUUGAAUUUGAUGAUGCCAAAGAUUGUUUGUUGCUUUUGAUGAUGAUUGAUGAUGAAUUGACAAUUAUUUAAAUUGAUGUUGAGGAUGAUAUUGAUUGUUAUUAUUGUUGAUAAUGAAUUGACGAUGGGUGGAUGAUGAUGAAUUGAAUUGAUGUUGGGGAAGAGGAAAAUAAAGGUGGCGGCUAAGGUGGGGAUUUAGGGUUUCUUUUCGUUUCUUUCCUUUUUUUUUUUUUUACUUUUGGCUUUUAUAUUUAUAUUUAAUAAUAAAAAUUAAUUAAUUAAUAAAUUAUUAAUAUUUUAGUGCAGGUCCGGGUUCCUGGAAUCCGGGUUUGGUUGAACCCGCAACCGGACCCGCAUGUAUCCGGGUUUGAAAAAAUGCUACCCGGAUCCGCAUUUUUAUGCACCCGGGAUGGGUUUAACCCGGACCGGAUCGUCCGGGUUUAUCCGGGUUCGGGCCGGGUCCGGAAAAAUUUGCCAUCCCUAGAGUAAAUCCUCUUGUGGCCUAGCAGAAACGUAGGCAACAUGAUUAUGUCGAAUCAGAAAGGAUGGUGUGGAGAUUGAUUGAUUCUCAAUCUAAUCUCCAAGUGGGAGAAUGUUAAAGUCAUGGUUGGGAGGUGUCACCCAAAGAAAGAAACAAAAGAGAAAGAAGAAAAAGAAGAAAAAAUGGGUACCGGGCUAUAAAGGGCAAAGAAAAAAAAUUAAUAAAAUAAUAAAAAUAAUAUAUGAUUGAUGAAUAGUGCCAAAACUUUCUCUAUAAAUAGAAACGAAGAGAAUGAGCAAAUUCAUUUCAUCGAGAGAGAAGCAUUUCCUUCCUUUAGAGAGGUGAGAGUAUCAAGAGUUUAAUAAACUCUUGAGUGAUUAGUGUUUUGAGAGUUUGGGUGUAUUGGGAUUUUAGGUAGUGAGGUAAAAUACCACAAUACUUGUAACUCCUUUUCACUAGUAAAAUAUUUUUCUUCUUUUUCGCCCGUGGACGUAGGCUAAAAGUCGAACCACGUAAUUUCUUGUGUCCACUUUUUGUGCUUGUUCUUUGUUUUCUUACAAUUUCAUUUUAGCUGCGUGUUUGCUUCACUCAUCAAGUAAACAUCAUCAAUCAUUUUCGUUUUGAAUUAUGAUUUUUCAAUCCAAAAAGUAGAUGCCAGUAAAAGAGAGAGUUAAACUUGACUCACCCGCUUUUCUAAUUGUUCUGAUUUGUUGUAUAAUUUAUUCUAAAGUUAUUUUAUAAUUUAUCUAAAACGUAUAUAACACGUUCUCAAUUUUAUUACUAUAAACUUACGCUGUAUUGUCUAGUCUUAGUAAGUAACGACUCAAUUGGAUGUGGGAGGAUCCCUUCCGCUUUGACCAAAAAAACUGUUUCGAGGACAGUAUUCUAACUCAACUCAAGUGCUGAACAAAGAAAGAAACGCUGAGAACAUUAAUGAAAGUUAUCAUACAGAGCAAACAAGUCAAGAGUACACACAAGAGGAGAAAUAAUUAACACAAUUAUUUUACAUGGUUGAGUUUCUCUAAGCCCACGUCCACGAAGACAGACACUUGGCCAAGGAAAUAAUUGACCAAGGAAUUUACAAGGAAACUCUCUUUUCCAGAAGUUACAAGAGCCCUGACACUAUUCCUCUCGAGGUCUAGUUCAAGUCGCCCAAGCCUCUCAAGCUCCCUUAAGAACUCUGCUUUCUUGCUGUUCAAGAAAGCGCCUGAUUGGAAUCACAUGCUCCACGUGACAUCUGGCAUAACUAAAUCUGCUGCCGUACCCGGCCAAUUUAUGAUGCCACUUAUGAUACCCUGUCUCGUCAGCUUCCUUGCCCUGCGUCAUCAUAGGACCUUACAUCUUGGAACCUCCAUGAAAGCUGAAUCUCUAACAGCCCAUCAUAAAAGAUAGUAGUUUUAAAAUAUGGAAAUUACCAAAAAUACCUGCACAUUUUGAAAUUUGUCAAAAAAUGAAGAGUUGAAAGCAAUAGGAAGACGUAAUUAACCAACCAAUUUGAUUCCUCUGAUCGCUUUCAUCUCAGGACUCUUUGUCUUCCCGUGCGUCUUCGAUUCCACAGGACAAUCUUGGAUUGAAUUUAUACAUCAGAAGAAAAUAUCAAUAUGCCCAAAAUAAAAAGUUGCUUCCAGUGCAGAAAUAAGAGAAAUUGACACACCUUUUUCCACCACAGAAGAUGGUGUCAUAUAGAAGUAUUCUGUCGCAGACUUAACAUACCUAUCAAGUAAUUAAUAAUUCAAGAUAUAAUAACUCUUGACAAUUAUAUAUUCAUAUACAUGUUAGUAGCAUGAUGCUACCAAUAUUCGCACCUUUAGCAUUCAAACACUUGAUCAUUGAAAGAAUUUAAGAAAAAUGUUGUUUGGUUACUGAGAAAAUAUCUCAACAAAAUUUUCAGAGAACUUUCCGGAAUUCUUGCCUGUAUUUCACUUAAUGAAAAAUGUUAAAAUUACAUUCAAUUUAUAUUCGAUGCUUUAGCAUUACUAUAACUAACUCAGAACAUACUACACAUGCUUAACUACAGCUCAAUAUAUACAGAGUAAGUCAUAACAAACUUUUAACUACUUAUGCUGAGGUGGCAACUGAGCUGUUAUUCUGCUUAAUCAUCUGACGUCAACAACUUGCUGGUUUUCCUCAGCUUGAGCGUCUUCUUCCUUUCUGGACAAUGAGCUUCUUUAACAAUCAUUGAAGCAGCCUUUCUCACCAACCUAGCUCCGACAUUAAUCUAUAGAGUUAUCAAGACCGACAUUCGAUGACGUAAUUACACUUUAAUUGGAUUACAAAUAACAAACGAAUAAAACGGAGCAGCAGAAGAAAUUACCAUUGGCUGAUGGUUGUUGCAGGCGUUAUGAGAAUUCCUCAAGGGCUUCCUUUGAUCAACUUCCCAUUGGUCUCGAUGUUGGAAACGUGGGAUAUCUUAGGCCCUGUAUCCUUCUUGCAACGCUCUUCUGAAAUAGAACAUCUCCCACCUUGCCCCUGCCGAAGUUAUGAGUCACCCCUCAAUUUCAAUCGAAAUACUGCUCUGCCAUGCCCUUACACCGUAACGUAAUUACUCUGUUCAAAAAUCUUGCUUUGAAAAUCUCAGUAAUUGAACAUGCUCAAGAAAUCAGUCUCAGUUUGAUGCAUUACAAAAAUAAUCAACCACACAAUGGGCUGAUGAUUAUCUACAAUUGAAAAUUAGCAAAUGAAGAGGAGAGAGCAACUACAAAAGCAACAAUGUCCGAUUAAGCCGCUGAUACAAUCAAUCAAACAAUAAGAAAAGGAUCAACAACACAAAAAGCACACGCAAGGCACAAAGAUUUACAUGAUAUAUCCACAGGUGGUGAGCUGGUAUCCACUAUACGUGUGAUGAAAACAAGUGUAUAUAUAUAAAGAACACCACCACCUGUCUCCUCACAAUAAACCCCUAGAACACAAGCGCAAAUAAAAAUGAGCCAAUUCCUGCUCUGCUCUGCCGUCAUGUACGUAACUCCUCUGCUAAGAAAUAUUGCCUUAAAAUAUCGGUAGCAUUUGCAUGCAUGACCAGCAAAUCAGUUAGACAUAUAAAAUUAUCAACCACACAGGAAAUCAGCAAAUCAGUGGUUUCAUGAAUUUGUAAUAUUUGAACAUCAGAAUAUGAAGAGUACAGGGCAAUGGGAAAAAGUAAUUAACCAACCAAAUAAAUUUAAAUCCAAAUAAGAUAAGUAACGUAUGAAAGGAGGGUUGAAGCCCACCUUAGAAACUCCUGUCUAUGAAGGCCAAUAAAUCUCCUGCUAUCUGUUUGCUUAGAUCUUUAUGUAUUUCUAUACACUUUUUACUCUACUCUGUUGUUCAACCUUCUUUGGUUUUAUGUAUCUAUUUUAUGUGUAUUGAGAAGGCUAGUUACUAGGUGUCAACUCUUCUCUUUAAAAGAUAAAGUUUUGAGAAAAGGAAAGAAAAGACACCCACGGCCAACUACCUUGUCAUAUUUUGCAUACCAAAAUUGGAUAUUAAUUAUGGUCACUGUCUUCAACCUGCUAACCAAAUCCAAAAAAUUGGUCCUCCCGAUUGAGUAAGUGAGCCCUGAAAAGACAUUACCCAGCUUAAAAGCCAAAUGAAUGUAGACUUGUGAUUGGUGUAAUUGGUUUUAAAGAAACUAGUAUGCAUCCCCACUGAAAACCAGUAAAUGGAGUUGAAGAAGAUGCUAAUGUACCACAGCUAACAUAAACAUAAUUUGAUCAGCCGAAUGACUACCAAAUGAAAAAGCAACAUAAACUUAACAGAACUGUUAAGGAUUAAUCGAAGACACAUAUAUAUUUGUGCCAAUUUUCACACCUUUAGCAUUCAAACCUUGCUCUAGAACAACUGCUGUGGUCCGAUGCUGCAGGCAAAAAAUUUGACCUACGAAGCAGCCUCACUCACCAACCUAGCCCCAAAUAAAUUUUUUGAAAUGCCUUGAAAACCUUAACAUUAUAUCCAAAUAAACAUAACUUGUGUUUGUGGCGUAAUGAGAUUGCAGUGCAUUCGUAGAGUGUACACUUAUCUGCCAUUUCGUCGGAACAAAUUUUUUUUACUUCUCUUAAAAUUUGCAUAAUAAAUAGCAAUAUGGACAAGUACCUACUUAUGAAAAUGUUAAGAUAUUUUUACAUUUCUUCUUUUUUUUUUAAGGAGUAAAAGUGAUUAUUCAUUUUGUUGAUGCCCAUUUACUCUAUAAAUGCCACCAUGAUCACUGAGAUAUGUUCAUGAAUAAGCAUCUACCAUCAGAUCGAUUCGAAAACGGAAAGGAAUAGAGAAAUAAAAGGUGAAACAAAUGAAAUCAUUUAAGGAGAGGAACGAGAUUCCAUUGUCUGGUUAUAACUGGAAAUCAAGCAUGAAAAAGGAAUUGAUUUUUUUUUUUUUUGGUUGACAGAAUACACUUUCAACUAGAAAAAAAAAAAGAAAAUUUGAAUCUGAUAUUUAACAGAAAAUUCAAAUAAAAUCAAAUUCAUUUGUAAUUUAAGUUCAUUUCAUUCUUAAAAUUUGACAUAUAGAAUAAAAUUUAUAACUGUUUCAAAUACAAAAACAUAUUAUUAUUCAAAAUAAUAAAAAUUUUCAUGGCAAAAAGUUAAAAAAAUAAAAUAAAACUGUUUGACGUAGAAUGGAAUUGAGCAGGGAAAGUUUGAUGGAAGAUGCACACACUAGUUGUGGAAUUAUACCGUUAGUCAUUUUAUUAAAAAAAAUAAAAUAAGAAUAAAAAUCACCUCGUUGAAAGAUUAUUUGCUACGAUUAAAAAUUUUAUUUGGUGAGCAAAACGACGUAGGGUCCUCAAAAACCUCAUGAUGGUGCAUGUAUAUUCAAAGCUUCAUGACAUCAUAAUAAAAAUGUUUUGUAUUAUGAUGAGUCAUACGUUCACUUGUUGAACUCGACCCUCACAGCGACGGAGAGGACCAUUUGCUGUAUCCUCGAAGACUACCAGAAGGAGGAUGGUGUGUGUGGAAGUACCAGAAGAUCUGCAAUAUUGGAAAUGGUUCAGCCGUGAUCAUUGGCAAUCAGACAAGAUUAUUGGCAAUAUUGUAGGCUUGUGUCUUUUACCCGUUAGAAGGAUAACUUGUGCACUUAAAUUUGGCACAUCACUUGUUUGACAAAAUUACAAAGCAAAUGUGUAACUCGUGUACUCUUCCUUUUUUAUCAUAAUUUUUGUACUAUAAAUAUGUACCUGCAAAUAGUGAAAUAUACACACAAAAUCAAUAAUUUCAUGAAUUAUUCUUCUUCUAAUUUUUACAACCUUUCAUGGGUGGAAAGACUUUCCUGCCUUUCAAGGCCUUGCCAGCUGCUGAAGCCGAAGGGAAGAAAUCCAAGGCUUUUUUUAGUUCAUCUAUUAAAUCCCCAGAAACCAGUUGCAGAACUAGUGGGAAAUCAAAUAUUUUUUAGUGGAAACAAAUACGAAACUAGUCCUCAAAUUAUUGUGUAAUGCAUUUUGCAAGAAAUUUGAUAGCCUGAUUAUGUUAUCCACAUCUUGAACUUUUCAAGUUAUGACGUGUCGGGAUUUGUUGCUAAACCAUACAAUUAUGAAAUUUUGCAACUCAAUCUUGUAUUGUUGUAUUUCCUUGCUUUCAGUUUUCUUGAUCAGAACAAACAACAUAAAUAAUGAUGCUAUAUUAAAAAAAUUAAAAGAAUUUCACUCGCCCUUCAUUUGUUAUCAACAAUAUGAUAUUGCCUGGGAUCUUUCGGCUUAAUCUUCCAGUGCCCAUUAGCCAAACUUGCAUUCUCAGCGAUUCUUCUCCAUUUCUUAAUCCUUUUAUCCAUAUGCUUUGUUAAUGCACAGUACUGUUGCAAUUUCUUAGGCAUCGCGUCAUAAACUUGCCACCAUUUCUUAUGAGCUGAAUCACUGGCAAAUACAUGGAGACUCACCAUGUCCCAAUUGCAAUCAUAGUCCUUGUAACACAUCCAUGGCUUUAACCCCAGAUAAUGAAUUGCAUAAAGGCCAUCACCCACUUGAUGUUCCUUAUCGUCUUGCUUUGAAAACACCUUCAAAUUGUUGAUUCUCUUAGGCAACCUAUGCCACCAUGUGAACACUUUAUUAAGAAAUCCCUGGUCACCCCCAUUGUAUGACGAAACCUUAAAGCUUUUGAGCAUCAUAUCUUCAAACUUGCACAAUGAUGGCUCAAUCACCAUCACCCCAGAAUUGAACAACACUUUGUCAUUACCUGCUGCUGAUAAUUCAGGGUAAAAGAAGAACUCAUCGGUGUUUUUGAGUAUUAAAAGAUCAGAAUCAAUGAAGAUAACUUUAUCAUAUUCAAUGAGUUGCCAUACUCUAAGCUUGCUAUAAUUCCACUCAUUGUACGAAUCUUUCUUGGCAAAGGGGCUACGUAUGCGCGAAAUCCACUUGGUUUUCCAUCCGGCAGCUCUCAGGCCACGGAGAGACUUGCCACUUAUUGAUUUAUCAUGAAGGAGAACGAGAUCUCUAGUCGAGUUUUUUUGGAUUAUGCUUUGCGCUAAAGCUAUUGCACCACAUACAUAAGCUUCUGAUGAAUGUAGAACUGUUACAUAAGCUUCUCUUUGAUGGUACGUUGUGUAGUUCAGUUUUGCUAGUCUUGCUUGUGACAUAAAAUAUCUCCAUAUUUCUUUGCCUGUAAAUCAAAAUAAAAGCACUCAAAUAUUAAUUUUAGGUUAAUUUUGCAAAAUUAAGAAAAAUGAAUUACGUAUGAAGGUUUGAAGAAGUCGUGGUGUCCGGAUUAGGUAAUACUUUCACGGAAAUUGAAAGUGCAAUUGUCUAAUGCCACAUAAGUCUUAAUUAGGAAAUUGAUUUAUGUUGGCUGAGUUACCAAAUUUUCACACAAUCAGAAUCAUGACUGCUGACUGUAUACAUUCUGUGUCCGUAGAUUAUUACAACUCUUUAAGGAUAUCAAAAUUGAAGAACCCGUCAAAUUUAAACCAAUUACACAUGUGCACGAGUUGUGCAUAUUUAAUUUGGAUGUCUCAUUUAUUAAUGCUGAACGAAUAAUUUACUAAAAUUUGAAACUAAAGAAAGCAGUAAAUUAAUGACCCACCAUGACCAAAUAAAUCACGCACUAACCUUUUCUUUUUUUCUUUUUUUUUUUCCUGAGAACACCUCAAAUUUCCGAAGAAAAAUUAAAUAAAAUCUCCUGCAUCCAUCUCUUGUGAACAUUUUAUAUUUUUUUAUAUGCAACAAGCUUUCAUUAAAAUUUAAGAUUCUAUCUCUAGAAUAAACUCCAAAACAUAUCGAUUAAAAUAACAAUAAGAGCUUAAAUACUACUUCGUAAAUAAUCAAGAAAUAUGACAAGCAACAAGAACAACAACUACCAAUUCAUAAAGAUUUUUACGAAAUUUUAAGUCAAAUUUUAAUGCAUAAUAACAUUGUAAAAUUCUUGGAACUGAGUACAAACAGUAAGUUAGCAUUUGGUUAGAAAAUUGUACAGAUUUUCUUCUUCAAGUGAUAUGACCAAAUUUUCUUCAGUUUCCAAACUACUCGCCAAACAAACAAAAUGUUUUCGAGAAACCAGGGAAAAAAAAAAAAGAAGCAAAACUCACCAGUUUGAGCAAAAGUAGGAGCAAUUUGGCAUGACCCAACAGGCAUCAAUACUUUAUGUUUCAAUCUCCUCAAGUCAGGUUUAUAAACCCAAUAAUCCCCUGCAUGCUCCACAAGAUCAUCGCACCUGAACAUCUCCACCAUGGCCCCACAAGAACCCACAAAGACAACGUACACCGCCCGAUCAACAUCAGGUUUCAACCACCCACUCUCCACCGCUAGAUUCGCCACCACGAGAUUCACUUGCAACCUAAACACAUCCCUCAUCCCACCACCUCCUUCUCCGUCCCCUCCGCAGGGAAUCCUAGCCACUAUCACGUCGAGGUACCGGUAAUCCUGCGCCGGCAUGGGUAUAUCCGGGCACGCCGGUGGGGCCCACUUGUGAUCUUCAUCAAUCCACUCCGGGAAAAAGUCUUCCCAUUUUUUAUCCUCACCCACAUGGUCGAAACGUACGUGAACAGUUUCAACAUGCAUGUCACCACGUACGCUAUUAUAAUCAUCAUCGUCGUCGUCGUUUAUAUUUACUAAACCAACUUUAAUUUUGUGACCGUUGAUAUGUUUUUCGACAAUAUCGAGCCAUUUGGGUCUGUGUAAUAAGUGGUUAGUAUUAUAUUUAUUAUUUGGCUCGUAAGCGAAAUGGGGUUGUUGUUUAGGUUUGAACGACAAAACGACAAGGAAAAGCGAGAAGGAGAGGAGAAGAAGAGAGAUUAUGAAGAGCUUUUGACUGAAAUUUGUGGGUUUGUUAGAAGAAGAUGGUGAUGAAGCUGCAGCCAUUUGAUUGAAUUUUGCUUCACGUCUUUGUUGAAAGUUGAAAGAUUUGUUUUGAGUCGACGUUUUGUUUUAAGUUAUAUCCAACGCAUCGAAUUGGAAUGAAAAGAAUCAAAGAUUGCAUUGCAGCAUGUUGAGCUUUGUCAAAUUGUCUUCUUAUGUGUAGGUAUUUUAUUUUCACACGCAUUUGAUGCGCGUGGGUAGGUUUACUAAAUGUAUUUCUUUUAUUAUUAUUAUUAUUAAGAUUAAAAUAUACUUCUAAGUUGUCAAAUUAGGCUUCUGAUAUCCUAUAUAACAAGGCAACAAACAUAAUAAACUUGUUACUUGUUAGAGUGCAAUUUAUGCACUAGUUUUGCAUUGUUUACUUCCCUUAAUAUCGAUGUUUUGCACUUAAUAAUAAUGUUUUACUUGUGUUUUACUUUUGUAGGUGCAAUUCUAUUGAUUGAUGAUAAAGUUGAGCUAAAAGAUGAUGUUUAAGGAGGAUUGUUCUCUUGGAGAAAUUAUGAGCGUCAGAAGAACUUUGUUGAUAAGGCGUGGACACGUGCUGUCAACUGCGGACCUGCAGUUUUUAGUUUAACGUGUUUUGUAUUUUUGGUUAUUUUUGUAAUUACGAAUUUAAUAUUUCAGAUAUUAGUAUUUUAUUUUAAAUAGAAUUCUAAAAGAGAAGAGAGAGAGAGUAUUUAAGGGAGGAAUCUAUUGUGAAAAAGGGGGAUUUGGAUUGGAGAAAAAGAAAGAAACCCUAGAUCUAAAUUUUUCUCUUCUCUCUAUGAAGAACUAAACCUAUUUUUCUGGUUGAAGGAUAAUGAAGCUUUGAUUCAUCACUACUGUGAGAUCUUUCUUAUGCUUUAAUUGUUUUAUUGCUUUUUGGGUAUUUGUUUAUUCUCUGAAUUAUUUUCAUGAUUAUGUUUGUUAAUUAGGUAAUUGGCCACUAUUUAAUUAUCAACUUAAUCUAUUGUCAAUUAAAGGAUUCAUCAUAUGAAGAAUUUAAUGUUUGUGACAAAUAACAUAGCAGAGAGUUGUGUUGUGAGAAUAAACAAUCUAAUUUAAAUGAAUCAUCAUAUGUGUUGAUUAGGAUUUGGGUCUCUCUGGUUUUUUAGGCUGUCAAUUGAUUAAAUCCUAUGAUCGUAUCUAGGGUUGUCUAUUGAUUAGGGAAAUAAUCAACGGUCGUACCUUGGUUAUCGACUAGUUAAGGAGAGAUUGGCUAUUAGAGGGUCUCAAUAGCUAUAACCGGUCUAUUCAUAAGUAAUAAUAAUCUAUAUUUGAAUUAAUGAUCAGUAGUCGAAUCAAGCUGAGUUAAUUCCUUCAACCAGAGCUUUCUCCAAUUUGAAUUACAACUUUAAUUUGCAUUCUUGUUAUUUUUAAUUUGAUUUUUAUUAUUGUCAACAAUUCCCCCAUUUUACGUUUUACGUUUCAAAAGGAUUUAAAUAAUUACCGAUCUCUGUGGACACGACCCUGCUCAAUCACUAUAUACAAUUUAUUUAGAGUAGGAAUUUAUUUUUGUUGGCUUCGACAAACAUCAAAUUUUGGCGCCGCUGCCGGGGAUUGGUGUCAUUUAUUUAAUCAUUUUUACGUUUUACUUGGUGUAUGGUUCGUUCUUCUCGUACAGGUACACUUUCAUUUGAUCCUGAAAUUGAGAAGAUAGCUCGCCAGCUGAGACAGCAGACGAAGCGAGCUAAGCAACGAUCAUCGUCGUCUUUGCUUUCUGAAAUAGAUACAGUACCUGAUUUAGUUGAAUCAUCUAGCGAUUCAGAAGAACAAGUGAUGGAUAGACCUGCACCUGUAGAAAGAACUCUUAGAGAGUUAGCUAAACCAGACUUGAAUCAACAACCACUCUGCAUUCAAUAUGUAGAUUUGGAGGUAAAUUUUGAAUUAAAGUCUGGUCUUAUUCAUUUAUUACCCAAGUUUCAUGGUUUUGCAGGUGAAGAUCCUCAUAAACAUCUUAAGGAGUUUCAUGUUGUGUGCUCAAGUAUGAGGCCACAAGGCGUGACUGAAGAGCAGAUUAAGCUGCGUGCUUUUCCGUUCUCUGUAGAUGGGCUAGCUAAAGAUUGGUUAUACUACUUGCCUCUUGGAUCGAUUACAACGUGGAAUGGUUUGAAGAAGCAGUUCCUUGAGAAGUACUUUCUCAACUUCCUGGGGAGACUUUGUAUGAGUAUUGGGAGCGAUUCAAACAAUUGUGUGCCAGCUGUCCUCAGCAUCAGAUUUCUGAUCAACUUCUUAUUCAAUUUUUUUACGAAGGACUGUCAUUGAUGGAUAGGAGUAUGAUAGAUGCUGCUAGUGGAGGCGUGUUGGUGAACAAGACCCCUACUCAAGCAAGGGAGUUGAUAUCAAAUAUGGCUGCCAACGCACAACAAUUUGGCAGCAGGCAAGAUCUCACUUCAAGGAAGGUGAAUGAGGUAAAUAUUUCUUCUGUUGAACAACGUUUAGAUAAACUUACUUCUCUUGUGGAAAAGUUUGUUGUAGGUAAUGUGCAACAGGUGAAGACUUGUGGCAUUUGUUACAAUAUGGGUCAUUCAACUGAUAUGUGUCCUACACUACAAGAAGAACCCGUUCAACAAGCCAAUGCAGUUGGAGGAUUUCCAGGCAUGCCUCAGAGGAGGUAUGAUCCUUAUGCACAAACAUACAAUCCGGGAUGGAAGGAUCAUCCCAACUUCAGCUAUGGAGUUAGGCAAUCAAGAUUCUCACAACAAUAUCCACCAAGACAACCAGCACCUCCACAGUCAAACUCCAAGUCAGGUAUAUCUCUUGAAGAAAUUGUUAAAUCACUUGCGACUAACACUCAACAAUUUCAGCAGGCAACUACAGCAAGCAUUCAGAACUUGGAGAACCAAAUGAGUCAAUUGGCAACUACAGUGAGCCGUCUGGAGUCUCAAGUAUUAGGGAGAUUGCCUUCACAAUCUGAGGUGAAUCCAAAGCAAAACGUUAGUGCUAUCAUCCUUAGAAGUGGGAAGGAGUUGCAAGAGCCUAGUAAGAAAGUGACAGAGCAUGUAGAAGAUGAGCUUGAGAAGAAUGAAUUGAUGCCUCAAUCUCAAGAUGAACAACCCACCAAAGCGAAACCCCUACCUAUUGUGAUACCUCCUCCUUUUCCAAGCCGGUUUGCAAAAUCCAAGAAGGAGGAACAAGAUAAAGACGUCCUUGAGACUUUUCGCAAAGUUGAGGUAAAUAUUCCUUUAUUAGAUGCUAUAAAACAAAUACCUCGAUAUGCUAAAGUCCUUAAGGAACUGUGCACCUCUAAGAGAAAAUUAAGAGGAGAUGAAAAAGUUCACAUGGGGGAGAAUGUUUCAGCAGUUCUCCAAAAGAAACUACCUCCUAAGUGCAAGGAUCCAGGUAUGUUUACUAUCCCUUGUAAAAUUGGUAGUGUUAGAAUUGAAAAGGCUUUGUUAGAUCUAGGAGCUUCUAUUAAUGUCAUGCCUCGUUCCAUUUAUUCAUCUUUGAAUAUUGGUCCAUUAAAAGAAACUGGCGUGAUAAUUCAACUAGCUGAUAGGUCUAAUGCAUACCCUGAUGGGGUAUUAGAAGAUGUCUUAGUACAAGUUAAUGAGUUGGUUUUUCCUGCUGAUUUUUAUGUACUUGAUAUGGAAGAGGAUAACUCCUCUAAUUUUGUCCCAAUUUUGCUAGGAAGACCUUUUCUUAAGACUGCUAGGACUAAAAUGGAUGUACAUAAAGGGACUCUCACUAUGGAGUUUGAUGGAGAGGUUAUAGAAUUCAAUAUGAAUGAUGCCAUGAAAUAUCCGAGUGAGGAACAUUCGGUAUUUUCUGUGGAUGUUAUUAACUCUAUAGUACAGGAAGUUUUUUACAAGGAAAAAACGAAGACAUUUCAUGAUAGAAUGAUUUUAAGAAAAGAGUUAUCUAUUGGUCAAAAAGUUCUUCUUUUUCAUUCUAAGCUUAAACUUUUUCCGGGUAAAUUACGUUCUUGCUGGGUUGGACCUUUUAUUGUUACUAAUAUUUUUCCUCAUGGUGCAGUUGAGAUUCGGAGUCCGACUUCUGACAAAGUUUUUAAGGUUAAUGGUCAUCGCUUAAAAACUUUUUAUGAAGGUUUUUCGGUGAAUAUUGUAGAGGAUGUGGCUCUCGAGAGUCCCAAUUAUGGAGAUUGAUGCAUAAAUGUGUCUAGCCAAAGACAUAAAACAAAGGCGCUUUUUGGGAGGCAACCCAAAUGAUUUAUUUAUUUUGGUUUUUGUUAUAUCUUCUUUUAAUUUUGAUUCAUAUUUUUUUUAAAUAAUGUGUUUGCUUAUUUUGGUCAGAAGAAAAUUUUUGAUAAGGCGUGCCCACGUCUUAACUAAUAAGUACUUCUGUGAUUUUUAAAGUAAAAUGGUUUUAAGGCGUGCCCACGUGCUUAUUAGAAAAGUACUUCUGAAAUUUUUAGUGUUUCAAGUGAUUCAUCACUAAAAAAAAAAAAAAAAAUUGUUUUCUUUCGCAGCAACAGCCGCUCUAGCCUUCACCGAGCAGCCCGUGCGCAACUAUCUCACCAUUUCCGCCAAGCCCAUAGACGUUAUGAGGAUCAAAGCUCACAAUUCAGGGAAGUUUUUGCCUUUAAUCUUUUAUCCUUACGAUUUAAUUUUUAUGUGAGCUUUGAUUAUCUUACAUUGGGGACAAUGUAAGUUCCUGGUGUGGGGGAGGGAUUUUUGCAUUAUUGAUGUCUGGAAUUAUUAUUUUCACUCUGCUCAUCUAUUUUCACUCUACUCAUCCUUAAAUGAUUUUGGAGUUAGUAUGCUUCAUAUAUUAUUAAUUUUCUUUUCCUUUCUCUCUCACUACUCUUUUCCCAUCUAUCUCAAAUUAUUUACAUCUAUUUUUUUUUUCUCUAUCAUACUCUUUCAUCACUCACAUUUUAUCUUUCAUUUUUUUUAAUACAUACAUCUUUCUCGCUUAUUAUCCUUUUUACCUUUCCUUUUAUAUCUCACUCAUACCUUCUUCUCAUUCUACACCACUAUUGAUGGUUGAUUCAUUUGAAGAGUGUACAUGAUUUGAUGGCAAUUUUACCAACUUUGUGAGGAUUUGAGCCUAUGAGCAACCACUUUGCUCUAAUUAUUUUUGUUAUGUGAAUAUCAUUCCUAGUUUGUUUAUUCUAGAACUUGCUUUGUUAUGCAUGUUGAAGCCACAUUACGGGAUUUUAUGCAUUAAAAUGAUAAGGGCAAACCAUUUACCAUUUUUCUAUUCUCGCAUUUUCCUUUUUCUCUACCUGAAGACCUUUAUUUGCUACCUUUGUUUGAGCCUUACCCAUUACCCAUCUAAUUCUCUCCGUCUACUUAACCAUUUUUCUUCUUUUUGAGCCUCAAUUUAAGGAGAUUUUUGGACUCAUUGUGUGGAUAUAUUUUGUUGCUUUUUCUACCUUGUAUUAAAGUUUCUCAAUUAGAUCAACAAGCAUUAUGCUUGAAUUAAAUUGUGCAAGGUUCGUUUCUUUUGUUUGAUUCAAAAAAAAAAAACAAAAAACAAAAAAAAACAAAAAAAAAGGAAAAAGAAAAAAAAGAGAAAAAAGAAAAAUCGAAAAAAAAAAAGUUUACAUUCUUGGUGACUUGAGUAGAAAUAAGCAUUUUGAUAUCAUAAGUUCAUUCAAUGAGUUCAUUCUUCUCGUUUUGAUCUCUUUUUCUUUCGUAAACCUUUCUUUUUCAUUUAACCCCAUUACAAACCUUUUAAGACCCUUAUAUUUUUGCAUUUUAUUCAUGUUUUGUGGAUUGAGAUGUGAUAUAUGAGCAAGCUUAUGGUAAUAGCAUUCUUUGAUUUGAUUUGAGUGCAUAAAUGAUACCCUAAACACUUUGAGUGCAUGGAGUGAAGUUAUUGAGAGGGCUAUUAAAUCUUGUUGCACUUGAAUUUUGAAUGGAUCUUCUUGGUGGUUGAAUGUUCUUAUUCUAUCUUAUGAAAUUCUAUGCUUUAAAAUCCUUGUCUCUUGAAUGUUGAUCGACUUAAUUUCUUGAGGUAUGCUUGCUUAAAAUUGUUUUUGGAUGAGUUGAGAUGAGAAUUGAGUGGAGAUUUGAGAUUAAUCUUGAGUUAUAUGCUUGAGGACAAGCAUCAUCUUGGUGUGGGGGAAUUUGUUAGAGUGCAAUUUAUGCACUAGUUUUGCAUUGUUUACUUCCCUUAAUAUCGAUGUUUUGCAUUUAAUAAUAGUGAUUUACUUGUGUUUUACUUUUGUAGGUGCAAUUCUAUUGAUUGGUGAUAAAAUUGAGCUAUAAGAUGAUGUUUAAGGAUGAUUGUUCUUUUGGAGAAAUUAUGAGCGGCAGAAGAACUUUGUCGAUAAGGCGUGGGCGCGUGCUGUCAACUGCGGACCUGCAGUUUUUAGUUUAACGUGUUUUGUAUUUUUGGCUAUUUUUUUAAUUACAAAUUUAAUAUUUCAAAUAUUAGUAUUUUAUUUUAAAUAGAACUCUAAAAGAGAAGAGAGAGAGAGUAUUUAAGGGAGGAAUCUAUUGUGAAAAAGGGGGAUUUGGAGAUUGGAGAAAAGAAAGAAACCCUAGAUCUAAUUUUUCUCUUCUCUCUAUGAGGAACUAAACCUAUUUUUCUGGUUGAAGGAUAACGAAGCUUUGAUUCAUCACUACUGUGAGAUCUUUCUUAUGCUUUAAUUGUUUUAUUACUUUUUGGGUAUUUGUUUAUUCUCUGAAUUAGUUUCAUGAUUAUGUUUGUUAAUUAGGUAAUUGGCCACUAUUUAAUUAUCAACUUAAUCUAUUGUCAAUUAAAGGAUUCAUCGUAUGAAGAAUUUAAUGUUUGUGCCAAAUAACAUAGCAGAGAGUUGUGUUGUGAGAAUAAACAAUCUAAUUUAAAUGAAUCAUCAUAUGUGUUGAUUAAGAUUUGGGUCUCUCUGGUUUUUCAGGCUGUCAAUUGAUUAAAUCCUAUGAUCGUAUCUAGGGUUGUCUAUUUGAUUAGGGAAAUAUCCAACGGUCGUACCUUGGUUAUCGACUAGUUAAGGAGAGAUUGGCUAUUAGAGGGUCUCAAUAGCUAUAACCGGUCUAUUCAUAAGUAAUAAUAAUCUAUAUUUGAAUCAACGAUCAGUAGUCGAAUCAAGCUGAGUUAAUUCCUUCAACCAGAGCUUUCUCAAAUUUGAAUCACAACUUUAAUUUACAUUCUCGUUAUUUUAAUUUGAUUUUUAUUAUUGUCAACAAUUCCCCCAUUUUACGUUUUACGUUUCAAAAGGAUUUAAAUAAUUACCGAUCUCUGUGGACACGACCCUACUCAAUCACUAUACACAAUUUAUUUAGAGUAGGAAUUUAUUUUUGUUGGCUUCGACACCCAUCACAACUAUCUAAGACUUAUAAAUUCUUAAAAACUCUUUCUCUUUGUAUAUGGUAAGGUAAGAAAUUUGAGAUCCAUCUUUAGUUCGAAAAAAAAUUAUGUCCAAACUCAAAGUCUUUCCUUAGUGAAGCAAAGAAAUUCGUACCAACAAUAUGAUCAUAUAAGCAAAUUAUUCGUGACCAACAAUAAGAAAAUUAUGUAUCAUACAUAAGUCAAUAAUGAGAUUUUUUAAAAAAGUUAAUUAUAGUAUAAUUGAAUGGUAACUUAAUUUUCUCCUACCCAUGUGAGCUAAGUGGUACAUAAGAAUGAGAGUUUUUUGAAUAAUAACAAAAAGUGUAAUAAAAUAUACUUAUCUAAACUAAACGCUGCAUAAAAAUUUCCUUUUAUAUACUACUCUCUCUCCCCCCCCCCCCCCCCCAACAAUCUAGGUAUUUUUUUAAAGUUCAUUUUUUAAAAGAUUGGAGAGUGGAUUAAAUCUAAAUCGAUUUUUUUUAGCCUUUACCUCCCUUAAAAUUCAAAAUCUAUUAGCUAGUUAAAUAAAAGUACUUGAAAAUUAUUUGACUAAAUCAUUGAGGGCAGAAUUUAGACACUGAUAAAUAGUUAAAAAUUUCAAUUAAAUAUGAUCAUCUAUUGGCAUUCUUAAAGUUCCGUAAUCACAGCCAGUACAAUGGUUCUAUCAAAUGAAAUAUUUCUAUCCAAAAUCAAUUUCUUUUUUAUCAUAUGGAAUUAAUCGAUUUGGAAUUGUGGAUUUUUAAUAGAUAUAAUAAAUACCCCAAGUAUGGGUGCUUUUCCAAUCAGGGAUCCCUGACUUUAAUAAAGUCAGGGAUUAGCUAAAAGAUAAAAAAGUUUAAAUUUUACUACACUACAUGAUAAAAUACAGUUUAUUGAAGUAUGUGUUUAUUUUGUCUUUUAGCUAAUCCCUGACUUUAUUAAAGUCAGGGAUCCCUGAUUAGAAAACUACUCCCCCAAGUAUUUUGAUAAUAUUCUAUAAUUAUCGUUGAGUUAGUGUGUGGCUUCGGGUCACCGUCAUGAACUUGGUCAGUCUAACAAAUAUAACGUAACCCAUGGUAUCAUCAAAAUAUGUGCAACGUUGCUCAGUAGAAACCAAAUCAGAUUAGGGAAAUUAUCUCUGUUGUCUUGGUCAAUCUUUUGUGACUUCAUCAAUAGACAUAACAUGUAGCCACGCCACAAUUUUUAAUUUUAAUUGGAAUGCUUAGAAGUCUAUUAAAAAUUAUAAUGUAACCUAACUAAGAAUAAUAUCAAUUUUUCUAUUUUAAUCUAAUAUUUAAUUAAACUAUUGCCAUUAUUGCACUUAGUCAUGGCUCAUAUGUGGAUCCACUAAUUGUUUCGCACCGUUGAUUGAUUGAGGGACGGUCAAGAUUUGAUUAAAUAUUGGAAUUGGUAUGCGAUCUCAUUAAAGUUGACUUCUAAAAUUGCAUUCUCAAUUAUUCAGAUUUAAAAAACAAGAAUGAUAAUAUGAUAGUUACGUUUUAAUAUUCUACGUUUGAAAUAUUAUGUUUCUUCUCAAAGCUGCAAAUCUCAUUUACAUUACCUGGUCAAAGACUUCUUGACAUAAAUUAUUUAUGCUAUUAAUUCAGUUAGUUAAGGAUAUACUUUAAAUGAUAUGACAUUUAAUCAACCAACGAUACAACAUAUAUCGAUUUAAUAUUAAGAUAUCUAAACAUAAUGAGACGACAAGAUCAAUACUCAACAUACAAUUUAAUUUUAAUACAAUUUCUUUCAUAAAUAUUGAUACAAUAAUAUUGAAUCAAUGUCAUGUCACUUGGCUUACUUUAUUUACUUAUUACUUAACUCUUUUAGUACCUAUACGUCACUCAUUAAACUCGUAUAUAUUUUGUAUGCAUCGAAUUAUUGAGAAUAGAAUUCACAGAGUUCAACUCUUGUGCAUGAACUGAGGAUUUCUCUAUUAAGUUUACUUGGAUAUGAUUAUAUUUUUGUUCUCUAAUUAUCAUUUGUUUUCAUUUUUUUUCUAUUACAUAUGAUUUUCAUUAAAUCACAACUCUAGUUGGCAUUUCACAUCACCCGCAAUUGAUUAGUUGCUUUCUAAUCCAACAAAAUUAAUAUGGAAAGAAAUAAAUGGCAACCGAUAAAUAUUCCAACAUUAUGUAUUACGCUGAAGAUUAAGCCAAUCCCACUACUACAAAACUGAAUUUCUUUGACAGAAUGCUUUUUCACAUGAUCAUGUAUGUGUCAAAGUUUUGUGACAAAUAUAUUAUUUUGCUGAUGUCGCAAACACAAUCCUUUCAAAAUCUUUAGAGGCCUUGAAAUUUUGAUUAUCUAUAAGAGAAUAGUUACAAAAUUCUGUCACUAAUAGUAAGUUAAGUGAUUCUUGAUAGAAUACUAUCAAAACAUUUAUAUAAAAUCUCACAUUUUAAUAUUUUACAAAAAUGUGUUUUAAAUAUUUUCAUUUUUUUGACAUAAUUCUAUCAAUGAACUUUCUUUUUAAAUUUUUAAUUCCACUUAGGCAUUGAAAAUGACAUAGUUUUAAAAGAUUUCAAUGACUUAACUGAUGUGAAUAUAUCUUUAAUAAGUCAACGACAAAAUUCUAUCAAAUAAAAUUCAUCACCUUAUCAGAUAAACAAAGGCCUGCUCAACCAAUAAGAAUUUGCCAUCUAAAGAGUUUAAUGGGUCUUUCAAAAAGCCUGACUUGAGUCUGAGCUUGAGUAUUUCAGGUCUAAUCUAAUAAGCAAGUUUAUAAAUUAUAAAUUUAUGAAAUACAAUGAAAAAGGUUUAAAAAAAAAAGAAAAAUGUUUUAAAAAAUUAAAGUAUAAAUAUGAGGUUUUACAAUUAAAAUAUCAAAUAGUGGCAAAAUGAGCGCCCAAAAAGUGCGGCAAAUUAAAAUUAUUCAAAAUUUAUCUCUUCAAUCCCUUUUUUUUUUUUAUUUUAGAGGGAAAAUUUUUUUAUGUACCACUGAAAUAAAAUUAACCCAAAAACAUUCUGUAAUUGAAAGCUUGGAACGAAUUUCACGCCUCUCGCCUUCUCUUUCACGCAUUUCGCAUUCCAUUUUCGCAUUAACACAUAAAAGGAGACACAAAUGGAAUAAUUAGAGAGAGGGAUGACCGGAUGAGAUUCCAUUUAUUGUUUGGUUAUAAAAUAAUUGAGUGUUUUUUUUUUUUUGUUAACUUAAAAAUACGUAUUUUUUUGUAUUUGAUAUUUAAUAGAAAGUUGAAAGUAAAAUCAAAUCCAUUUGUAAUAUAAGUUCACUUCAUUCAUAAAAUUAAACAUAUAGAAUAAAAUUUAUAAAUGUUACUUAUACAAAUACAUAUUACUAUUCAAAAUAAUAAAAAUUUUGCAUUGGAAACAAUUUUGAAAAAAAAAAUAAAAGUUUUUAAUGGAGAAAGGAAUUGUGGAGGGAAAGUUUGAUAGAAGAUGCACACUAGCUAGUUUUGGAAUUAUACCGUCAGGCGUCAGUCAUUUUAUAAAAAAAAAUGGAAAUAAUUUGAUCAGCCACCCGAGCUUUACUUCAGUGAUGCAUGUAUAUUCUAAGCUUCAUGACAUCAUAUUAAAAACGUAUUGCUAAGGUAAUUUGAAAUUCGUUUUAUCCAAUGAAUGUUACAUUUACUGGUAUGUUUAAUAUUUUGUUUUGGUUAAAAAUUUUGCUAUCUAACAGCUAAUAACUGAAUUUGACUCAUUUUUAUGUAAAUUUUAUAGACCCACCGAUUCACCAUUUUUAUGUUAUAAUCAUUGUAGGCAUGUUAUUUUUAAAUUAUGACUCCAUGUGAAACCAAAAUUUAAAUUUCACCAUCUUUUAUAGAGUUUGGUUAUGAUAAUCAAAUAAUACAAUAAACAAACACAAGGCAAAAAAAUUUACGUGGUUCGACGUAUUAAUUAAUAUGUCUACAUCCAUGGGUGGUGAUACCGAUAAGCCACUAUAUAAUGAAAAAGUGUACAAAUAAUAAUAAGCUCUCAGAUGCACCAAAAAAUUCAACAUUAUGUAUUACAUGCUCUGUCAUACCCUCCGCCCACAACAAACUCUCUCACCCUCCGAAGCCUGAUUAAUUCCCCAAUCCCUGCCGGCAAGUAUCUUAAAGAAUCAGUCCCCUCAUUGUGUAAAUACAUCAGCUUUCUUAACUUCCCAAUCCCUCGAGGUAAUUCUCUAAGAUUUUCACAAUCAUCAACGUUUAAACGUUCUAAAUUAUAUAACUCACACAACGUCUCGGGUAAUUUUUCUAUCUUCUUUUGACCUUUCAAAUUAAGGUAUUUCAAAUGUAACAAUUUUUCUAUAUUUGUUGGAAUUUCCUUGAUGAAAUUCUUACACAACCACGGUUCACAUACCUUUAAUUUUAAUGUCCUUAAACAAGUUAAUUUAUCAAAUAAUUGAGGUAGAACUUCACUAGACCAUGAAUAUUCAUCACUUUUAACUAAGAGGCUACGCAAUCCUCGCAAUCCUGUAACAUUACCCCAAAUGGAGAUCGGAACCGAAGCCCCCCUACGUAGAGUUAACAGUAAAUGGAUUUUUUUCUCCCCGAAAGAGCUAAUAGCUAACUCUUCACCACUAUGAAUUUCUACUGUUAAACAUUCAUUACUACAUAAAUAUUGGGCAAAGUCGUGCACGAUAUCGUGCAUUUUGCAAUUAGAGAUUUCACCAUCAUCACCUUUGUCAAAAUCCUGAAAGAAUGAAUGGCUAGCUAAGAUGUUGAAAUACUCUUCACCAAUAUCCUCCAUCUCUUUGGCUCCUUUCUCACUAAGAUAACCUUGUGCCAUCCAUAGUUCAAUUAACUUAUGCUUCUGUAUUUCAUAGUCUUUCGGAAAGACGGCACAAUAUGAGAAACAACGCUUUACCUUGGAGGGUAAUUCUUUGUAACUCAACAAUAGAGGGGCUAAAAGGCCUUUCUCAAUUGCUUCUAGUUCCCAUAUCUCACUCUCUAAGAUAUUUUGCCAUUCUUUUUCAGUGUUUUUAGACCGCAAGAGACUAGCAAUUGUCUUUGCAGCUAAAGGUAAGCCCUUGCACUUUUUUACAAUUUCUCUACCAAUUUUUUCUAAAUUUUCACGUUUUCCUAUGGUCUUACCAGAAAUUGCCAACGACUGAAACACCGACCAGCAUUCCAUUUCAGACAAUACAUUGACAGAGAUAACAUGAGUUGAUCCCAUAAUACGGGCAACUGUUUCUUUACGUGUGGUAAUUAAAAUUUUACUUCCAUGGAGACUAUUCUUUAAACAUUUGUAGAAUGGUUCCCACUUAUAGUAAUCUUCAUUCCACACGUCGUCUAAGACAAGAAGAAAUUUCUUCCCGGCAACACAUUCUUGAAUAUGUUGCAUGAGAGAUUGAAACUCUACAAGGUCUUUGGCAGAACCUGGCUUCAGAGACUCAAUGAUUGCUCUGGCGAUCCUGAACUCAUCAAAUGGCUCUGACACACAGACCCAUGUUCUUUUCUCAAAAUUUCUUUCAACAUCACCGUUGUUGUAGGCAAAUUGAGCAAGAGUAGUUUUGCCUAUUCCCCCCAUCCCAACAAGUGAGAUGAUAGAGGGGCCUUUCUGUUCUUUACUACCCUCACAUAACAACCUAUCAACGAGUUCGUUCUUCUC